RNAcentral lists this ribosomal RNA (1425 nucleotides) under bacterium AD9(2012). RNAcentral describes it as "bacterial SSU rRNA". It matches the Rfam family "Bacterial small subunit ribosomal RNA". The record is from RNAcentral.
CCUAACACAUGCANGUCGAGCGGUAGCACANANAGCUUGCUCUCGGGUGACNAGCGGCGGACGGGUGAGUAAUGUCUGGGAAACUGCCUGAUGGAGGGGGAUAACUACUGGAAACGGUAGCUAAUACCGCAUAACGUCGCAAGACCAAAGUGGGGGACCUUCGGGCCUCAUGCCAUCAGAUGUGCCCAGAUGGGAUUAGCUAGUAGGUGGGGUAACGGCUCACCUAGGCGACGAUCCCUAGCUGGUCUGAGAGGAUGACCAGCCACACUGGAACUGAGACACGGUCCAGACUCCUACGGGAGGCAGCAGUGGGGAAUAUUGCACAAUGGGCGCAAGCCUGAUGCAGCCAUGCCGCGUGUGUGAAGAAGGCCUUCGGGUUGUAAAGCACUUUCAGCGGGGAGGAAGGCGAUAAGGUUAAUAACCUUGUCGAUUGACGUUACCCGCAGAAGAAGCACCGGCUAACUCCGUGCCAGCAGCCGCGGUAAUACGGAGGGGUGCAAGCGUUAAUCGGAAUUACUGGGGCGUAAAAGCGCACGCAGGCGGUCUGUCAAGUCGGAUGUGAAAUCCCCGGGCUCAACCUGGGAACUGCAUUCGAAACUGGCAGGCUAGAGUCUUGUAGAGGGGGGUAGAAUUCCAGGUGUAGCGGUGAAAUGCGUAGAGAUCUGGAGGAAUACCGGUGGCGAAGGCGGCCCCCUGGACAAAGACUGACGCUCAGGUGCGAAAGCGUGGGGAGCAAACAGGAUUAGAUACCCUGGUAGUCCACGCCGUAAACGAUGUCGAUUUGGAGGUUGUGCCCUUGAGGCGUGGCUUCCGGAGCUAACGCGUUAAAUCGACCGCCUGGGGAGUACGGCCGCAAGGUUAAAACUCAAAUGAAUUGACGGGGGCCCGCACAAGCGGUGGAGCAUGUGGUUUAAUUCGAUGCAACGCGAAGAACCUUACCUGGUCUUGACAUCCACAGAAACUUUCCAGAGAUGGAUUGGUGCCUUCGGGAACUGUGAGACAGGUGCUGCAUGGCUGUCGUCAGCUCGUGUUGUGAAAUGUUGGGUUAAGUCCCGCAACGAGCGCAACCCUUAUCCUUUGUUGCCAGCGGUCCGGCCGGGAACUCAAAGGAGACUGCCAGUGAUAAACUGGAGGAAGGUGGGGAUGACGUCAAGUCAUCAUGGCCCUUACGACCAGGGCUACACACGUGCUACAAUGGCAUAUACAAAGAGAAGCGACCUCGCGAGAGCAAGCGGACCUCAUAAAGUAUGUCGUAGUCCGGAUUGGAGUCUGCAACUCGACUCCAUGAAGUCGGAAUCGCUAGUAAUCGUAGAUCAGAAUGCUACGGUGAAUACGUUCCCGGGCCUUGUACACACCGCCCGUCACACCAUGGGAGUGGGUUGCAAAAGAAGUAGGUAGCUUAACCUUCGGGAGGGCGCUUACCAC